UGGGGAAUAUUGCACAAUGGGCGAAAGCCUGAUGCAGCGACGCCGCGUGAGGGAUGACGGCCUUCGGGUUGUAAACCUCUUUCGGCAGGGACGAAGCGCAAGUGACGGUACCUGCAGAAGAAGCACCGGCUAACUACGUGCCAGCAGCCGCGGUAAUACGUAGGGUGCAAGCGUUGUCCGGAAUUACUGGGCGUAAAGAGUUCGUAGGCGGUUUGUCGCGUCGUUUGUGAAAACCAGCAGCUCAACUGCUGGCUUGCAGGCGAUACGGGCAGACUUGAGUACUGCAGGGGAGACUGGAAUUCCUGGUGUAGCGGUGAAAUGCGCAGAUAUCAGGAGGAACACCGGUGGCGAAGGCGGGUCUCUGGGCAGUAACUGACGCUGAGGAACGAAAGCGUGGGUAGCGAAC
This 406-nucleotide ribosomal RNA is filed under the name uncultured bacterium. RNAcentral's name for it is "bacterial SSU rRNA". It matches the Rfam family "Bacterial small subunit ribosomal RNA", at positions 355 to 773 of the family's 1533-position model. The record is from RNAcentral.